This 107-nucleotide small nuclear RNA is filed under the name Dasypus novemcinctus (nine-banded armadillo). Lineage: Eukaryota; Metazoa; Chordata; Mammalia; Cingulata; Dasypodidae. The record is from RNAcentral.
GUGCUUGCUUCAGUGGCACAUGCACUAAAAUUGGAACAGUACAGAGAAGAUUAGCAUGGCCCCUGCACAAGGCUGACACACAAAUUCAUGAAGUGCUUCAUAUUUUU